This 253-nucleotide ribosomal RNA is filed under the name uncultured bacterium. RNAcentral describes it as "partial 16S ribosomal RNA". It matches the Rfam family "Bacterial small subunit ribosomal RNA", at positions 524 to 776 of the family's 1533-position model. The record is from RNAcentral.
UACGUAGGUGGCAAGCGUUGUCCGGAUUCACUGGGCGUAAAGCGUGCGCAGGCGGUUUUGUAAGACAGAUGUGAAAUCCCCGGGCUCAACCUGGGAACUGCGUUUGUGACUGCAAGACUCGAGUGCGGCAGAGGGGGGUGGAAUUCCACGUGUAGCAGUGAAAUACGUAGAGAUCAGGAGGAAUACCGGUGGCGAAGGCGGGCAUCUGGCACAACACUGACACUUAGGCUCGAAAGCGUGGGGAUCAAACAGG